Molecule: transfer RNA, 85 nt
Filed under: Candidatus Colwellbacteria bacterium RIFCSPHIGHO2_02_FULL_45_17
Lineage: Bacteria; Candidatus Colwelliibacteriota
Also listed under: 2 other names
Description: tRNA-Ser
Rfam family: tRNA
About the family: Transfer RNA (tRNA) molecules are approximately 80 nucleotides in length. Their secondary structure includes four short double-helical elements and three loops (D, anti-codon, and T loops).
Source: RNAcentral
GGAAGGAUGCCGGAGUGGUCUAACGGAACGGCUUGGAAAGCCGUGACUCGCAAGGGUUCCGUGGGUUCGAAUCCCACUCCUUCCG